UUCCAGACUCCUACGGGAGGCAGCAGUGAGGAAUAUUGGUCAAUGGGCUUACGCCUGAACCAGCCAAGUCGCGUGAGGGAAGACUGCCCUAUGGGUUGUAAACCUCUUUUGUCAGGGAGCAAUUGGCGCUACGUGUAGCGUUAUCGAGAGUACCUGAAGAAAAAGCAUCGGCUAACUCCGUGCCAGCAGCCGCGGUAAUACGGAGGAUGCGAGCGUUAUCCGGAUUUAUUGGGUUUAAAGGGUGCGUAGGCGGUCUGUUAAGUCAGCGGUAAAAAUUCGGGGCUCAACCCCGUCCGGCCGUUGAAACUGGGGGCCUUGAGUGGGCGAGAAGAAGGCGGAAUGCGUGGUGUAGCGGUGAAAUGCAUAGAUAUCACGCAGAACUCCGAUUGCGAAGGCAGCAUACCGGCGCCCAACUGACGCUGAGGCACGAAAGCGUGGGUAUCGAACAGGAUUAGAUACCCUGGUAC
Molecule: ribosomal RNA, 467 nt
Filed under: uncultured bacterium
Lineage: Bacteria
Description: bacterial SSU rRNA
Rfam family: Bacterial small subunit ribosomal RNA
Source: RNAcentral